AAUAAGUGUAGUUUUGCACUGUUCAUGUCCAACGUUUGACCGUUUGUCUUAUUUGAAAAAAUUUUUAUGACUAAUACUUUUAUUGUUAUUAGAUGAUAAAACAUGAAUAGUACUUUAUGCUUGACUACUUUUUUAAAUUUUUUUCAUAAAUUUUUCAAAUAAGACGAACGGUCAAACGUUGGACACGGAUACCCACGGCUGCACUUAUU
Non-coding RNA from Oryza glumipatula, 209 nucleotides. The record is from Rfam. NCBI's taxonomy places the organism in Eukaryota, Viridiplantae, Streptophyta, Magnoliopsida, Poales, Poaceae.